RNAcentral lists this ribosomal RNA (497 nucleotides) under uncultured bacterium. Its description in RNAcentral is "partial 16S ribosomal RNA". It matches the Rfam family "Bacterial small subunit ribosomal RNA", at positions 28 to 507 of the family's 1533-position model. The record is from RNAcentral.
GAUGAACGCUGGCGGCGUGCCUAAUACAUGCAAGUCGAGCGAACAGACGAGGAGCUUGCUCCUCUGACGUUAGCGGCGGACGGGUGAGUAACACGUGGAUAACCUACCUAUAAGACUGGGAUAACUUCGGGAAACCGGAGCUAAUACCGGAUAAUAUAUUGAACCGCAUGGUUCAAUAGUGAAAGACGGUUUUGCUGUCACUAAUAGAUGGAUCCGCGCCGCAUUAGCUAGUUGGUAAGGUAACGGCUUACCAAGGCAACGAUGCGUAGCCGACCUGAGAGGGUGAUCGGCCACACUGGAACUGAGACACGGUCCAGACUCCUACGGGAGGCAGCAGUAGGGAAUCUUCCGAAAUGGGCGAAAGCCUGACGGAGCAACGCCGCGUGAGUGAUGAAGGUCUUCGGAUCGUAAAACUCUGUUAUUAGGGAAGAACAAAUGUGUAAGUAACUAUGCACGUCUUGACGGUACCUAAUCAGAAAGCCACGGCUAACUACGUG